This 1479-nucleotide ribosomal RNA is filed under the name metagenome. RNAcentral's name for it is "bacterial SSU rRNA". It matches the Rfam family "Bacterial small subunit ribosomal RNA". The record is from RNAcentral.
CGGCGUGCCUAACACAUGCAAGUCGAACGAGAAAGUUUUCUUCGGAAAGCGAGUAAAGAGGCAGACGGGUGAGUAAUGCAUAGGUAAUUUACCUUGGAGUAUGGAAUAACUCACUGAAAAGUGAGCUAAUACCGUAUAUUAUUCUUUUUUGUAAGGAAUUGAAUUAAAGGGGGGGAUCUCCUUGUGAGACCUUCCGCUUCGAGAUGAGCCUAUGUCCUAUUAGCUUGAUGGUGGGGUAAUGGCCUACCAUGGCGAUGAUGGGUAGCCGAGCUGAGAGGCUGAUCGGCCACACUGGAACUGAAACACGGUCCAGACUCCCACGGGAGGCUGCAGUGGGGAAUUUUGCGCAAUGGACGAAAGUCUGACGCAGCGACGCCGCGUGAGGGAUGAAUGCCUUCGGGUUGUAAACCUCUGUCAAAAAGGAUUAAAGUAUACCUGAUAAUACCAUGUAUAUCUGACUUAACUUUUAAAGGAAGUCCCGGCUAACUACGUGCCAGCAGCCGCGGUAAUACGUAGGGGACAAACAUUACUCGGAUUUACUGGGCGUAAAGGGAGCGUAGGCGGUUUAGUAAGUUAGUGGUGAAAGUCCUCGGCUUAACCGAGGGAUUGCCAUUAAAACUGCUAGACUAGAGGGCAGGAGAGGAAAGUAGAAUUCCCAGUGUAGCGGUGGAAUGCGUAGAGAUUGGGAAGAAUACCGGAAGCGAAGGCGGCUUUCUGGACUGUUCCUGACGCUGAGGCUCGAAAGCUAGGGUAGCAAACAGGAUUAGAUACCCUGGUAGUCCUAGCCGUAAACGAUGGAUACUAGACUUUGUGAUUACAGAGUCGUAGUUAACGCGUUAAGUAUCCCGCCUGGGUAGUACGACCGCAAGGUUAAAACUCAAAGGAAUUGACGGGGACCCGCACAAGCAGUGGAGCAUGUGGUUUAAUUCGAUCAACGCGAAAAACCUUACCUGGGCUUGAACUGUAGGUAUUAGCUACCUGAAGGGGAUAGUGAUCCGACUUUGUCGGAACCUAUAGAGGUGCUGCAUGGCUGUCGGCAGCUCGUGUCGUGAGAUGUUGGGUUAAGUCCCGCAACGAGCGAAACCCUUGUUCUUAGUUGUCAGCGAGUAAUGUCGGAAACUUUAGGAAGACUGCCGGUGAUAAAUCGGAGGAAGGUGGGGAUGACGUCAAGUCAGCAUGGCCUUUAUGUCCAGGGCUACACACGUGCUACAAUGGGUGGUACAGCAGGAAGCAAUACCGCGAGGUGGAGCAAAUCCUCAAAACCAUUCUAGUUCGGAUUGCAGGCUGCAAUUCGCCUGCAUGAAGCUGGAAUUUCUAGUAAUUGCGGAUCAGCAUUGCCGCAGUGAAUUCGUUCUCGGGUCUUGUACACACCGCCCGUCACAUCACGAAAGCUGGUUAUGCCAGAAGUCAUUUUUCCAACCAUUAGGAGGAAAGUGCCCAAGGCAAGACUGGUGAUUGGGGUGAAGUCGUAACAAGGUA